CAAACUCGGUCAUUUAGAGGAAGUAAAAGUCGUAACAAGGUCUCCGUAGGUGAACCUGCGGAGGGAUCAUUACACAAAUAUGAAGGCGGGCUGGAACCUCUCGGGGUUACAGCCUUGCUGAAUUAUUCACCCUUGUCUUUUGCGUACUUCUUGUUUCCUUGGUGGGUUCGCCCACCACUAGGACAAACAUAAACCUUUUGUAAUUGCAAUCAGCGUCAGUAACAAAUUAAUAAUUACAACUUUCAACAACGGAUCUCUUGGUUCUGGCAUCGAUGAAGAACGCAGCGAAAUGCGAUAAGUAGUGUGAAUUGCAGAAUUCAGUGAAUCAUCGAAUCUUUGAACGCACAUUGCGCCCUUUGGUAUUCCAAAGGGCAUGCCUGUUCGAGCGUCAUUUGUACCCUCAAGCUUUGCUUGGUGUUGGGCGUCUUGUCUCUAGCUUUGCUGGAGACUCGCCUUAAAGUAAUUGGCAGCCGGCCUACUGGUUUCGGAGCGCAGCACAAGUCGCACUCUCUAUCAGCAAAGGUCUAGCAUCCAUUAAGCCUUUUUUUCAACUUUUGACCUCGGAUCAGGUAGGGAUACCCGCUGAACUUAAGCAUAUCAAUAAGCGGAGGA
Molecule: ribosomal RNA, 612 nt
Filed under: Alternaria sp. GZ-2006a
Lineage: Eukaryota; Fungi; Ascomycota; Dothideomycetes; Pleosporales; Pleosporaceae
Description: eukaryotic LSU rRNA
Rfam family: 5.8S ribosomal RNA (bases 238-391)
Source: RNAcentral